GUGGGGAAUAUUGCACAAUGGAGGGAACUCUGAUGCAGCAACGCCGCGUGAAGGAAGAAGGUUUUCGGAUCGUAAACUUCUAUCAACAGGGACGAAAAAAAUGACGGUACCUGAAUAAGAAGCCCCGGCUAACUACGUGCCAGCAGCCGCGGUAAUACGUAGGGGGCAAGCGUUAUCCGGAAUUACUGGGUGUAAAGGGAGAGUAGGCGGCAUGACAAGCAAGAUGUGAAAGCCCGGGGCUUAACCGCGGGACUGCAUAAUGAACUGUCAGGCUAGAGUACAGGAGAGGUAAGCGGAAUUCCUAGUGUAGCGGUGAAAUGCGUAGAUAUUAGGAAGAACACCGGUGGCGAAGGCGGCUUACUGGACUGAAACUGACGCUGAGGCUCGAAAGCGUGGGGAGCGAACAGGAUUAGAAACCCGAGUAGUCC
RNAcentral lists this ribosomal RNA (428 nucleotides) under uncultured bacterium. RNAcentral's name for it is "partial 16S ribosomal RNA". It matches the Rfam family "Bacterial small subunit ribosomal RNA", at positions 354 to 796 of the family's 1533-position model. The record is from RNAcentral.